RNAcentral lists this long non-coding RNA (370 nucleotides) under Malus domestica (apple). RNAcentral's name for it is "long non-coding RNA (MDOM_LNC020598)". The record is from RNAcentral. Lineage: Eukaryota; Viridiplantae; Streptophyta; Magnoliopsida; Rosales; Rosaceae.
UUGCAUUAUCUUCUAGAACCCUAGAUCCUUGCCGCACCUAAUACCUAUUUCCCUUGGGAUUUUUGGUUUCUAGAAGCCUUAUCUUUUCACACUCUUUGUGCUGCACAUUAUCUCCAAUCCCUUUGGGUUUUUAACUUGUUUUCCUUAUAGGAUUGGAUGUUAUUAUCCUAUGCAAUUUAGGCCUUUAAACCUUGUCCUUUGCUACCUAGGAGAUGGGAAUUUUCAGCCUAUAUAUACAACCUAUUGCCGCACCCUUUCACUCACCACCCUCUACCAGAUUUUCACUACACCAUUCACCAAUCAUCUCUCAUUGUGCCGUGAGUUUGCAAGGAGAAGAAGGAAGACAACUUGGAGCCGUGUAUGCCAUUCA